RNAcentral lists this ribosomal RNA (657 nucleotides) under Luteimonas sp. Its description in RNAcentral is "bacterial SSU rRNA". It matches the Rfam family "Bacterial small subunit ribosomal RNA", at positions 75 to 725 of the family's 1533-position model. The record is from RNAcentral. Lineage: Bacteria; Pseudomonadati; Pseudomonadota; Gammaproteobacteria; Lysobacterales; Lysobacteraceae.
GGAGCUUGCUCCUUGGGUGGCGAGUGGCGGACGGGUGAGGAAUACAUCGGAAUCUGCCUAUUUGUGGGGGAUAACGUAGGGAAACUUACGCUAAUACCGCAUACGACCUACGGGUGAAAGCGGAGGACCUUCGGGCUUCGCGCAGAUAGAUGAGCCGAUGUCGGAUUAGCUAGUUGGCGGGGUAAAGGCCCACCAAGGCGACGAUCCGUAGCUGGUCUGAGAGGAUGAUCAGCCACACUGGAACUGAGACACGGUCCAGACUCCUACGGGAGGCAGCAGUGGGGAAUAUUGGACAAUGGGCGCAAGCCUGAUCCAGCCAUGCCGCGUGGGUGAAGAAGGCCUUCGGGUUGUAAAGCCCUUUUGUUGGGAAAGAAAAGCAGUCGGUUAAUACCCGAUUGUUCUGACGGUACCCAAAGAAUAAGCACCGGCUAACUUCGUGCCAGCAGCCGCGGUAAUACGAAGGGUGCAAGCGUUACUCGGAAUUACUGGGCGUAAAGCGUGCGUAGGUGGUUUGUUAAGUCUGAUGUGAAAGCCCUGGGCUCAACCUGGGAAUUGCAUUGGAUACUGGCAGGCUAGAGUGCGGUAGAGGGUAGUGGAAUUCCCGGUGUAGCAGUGAAAUGCGUAGAGAUCGGGAGGAACAUCCGUGGCGAAGGCGAC